This 484-nucleotide ribosomal RNA is filed under the name uncultured bacterium. RNAcentral's name for it is "partial 16S ribosomal RNA". It matches the Rfam family "Bacterial small subunit ribosomal RNA", at positions 30 to 507 of the family's 1533-position model. The record is from RNAcentral.
AUUGAACGCUGGCGGCAGGCCUAACACAUGCAAGUCGAGCGGAUGAAGGGAGCUUUCUCCUGGAUUCAGCGGCGGACGGGUGAGUAAUGCCUAGGAAUCUGCCUGGUAGUGGGGGAUAACGUCCGGAAACGGGCGCUAAUACCGCAUACGUCCUGAGGUAGAAAGUGGGGGAUCUUCGGACCUCACGCUAUCAGCUGAGCCUAGGUCGGAUUAGCUAGUUGGUGGGGUAAAGGCCUACCAAGGCGACGAUCCGUAACUGGUCUGAGAGGAUGAUCAGUCACACUGGAACUGAGACACGGUCCAGACUCCUACGGGAGGCAGCAGUGGGGAAUAUUGGACAAUGGGCGAAAGCCUGAUCCAGCCAUGCCGCGUGUGUGAAGAAGGUCUUCGGAUUGUAAAGCACUUUAAGUUGGGAGGAAGGGCAGUAAGUUAAUACCUUGCUGUUUUGACGUUACCAACAGAAUAAGCACCGGCUAACUUCGUG